RNAcentral lists this ribosomal RNA (253 nucleotides) under uncultured bacterium. RNAcentral's name for it is "partial 16S ribosomal RNA". It matches the Rfam family "Bacterial small subunit ribosomal RNA", at positions 524 to 776 of the family's 1533-position model. The record is from RNAcentral.
UACAGAGGUCUCAAGCGUUGUUCGGAUUCAUUGGGCGUAAAGGGUGCGUAGGCGGCAGCGCAAGUCAGGUGUGAAAUCCCGGGGCUCAACCCCGGAACUGCACUUGAUACUGCGUUGCUUGAGUACUGGAGAGGAGACUGGAAUUUACGGUGUAGCAGUGAAAUGCGUAGAUAUCGUAAGGAAGACCAGUGGCGAAGGCGAGUCUCUGGACAGUUACUGACGCUGAGGCACGAAGGCCAGGGGAGCAAACGGG